RNAcentral lists this ribosomal RNA (78 nucleotides) under Peltigera neckeri. RNAcentral's name for it is "partial 26S ribosomal RNA". It matches the Rfam family "Eukaryotic large subunit ribosomal RNA", at positions 1 to 77 of the family's 3401-position model. Lineage: Eukaryota; Fungi; Ascomycota; Lecanoromycetes; Peltigerales; Peltigeraceae. The record is from RNAcentral.
UUGACCUCGGAUCAGGUGAGGAUACCCGCUGAAUUUAAGCAUAUUAAUAAGCGGAGGAAAAGAAACCAACAGGGAUUG